GAUGAACGCUGGCGGCGUGCCUAAUACAUGCAAGUCGAGCGAACGGACGAGACUCUUGCUUCUCUCAUGUUAGCGGCGGACGUGUGAGUAACACGUGUAUACCCUACCUAUAUUACUGGUAUAACUUCGGGAAACCGGAUCUAAUACCGGAGAAUAUUUUGAACCGCAUGGUUCAAAAGUGAAAGACGGUCUUGCUGUCACUUAUAGAUGGAUCCGCGCUGCAUUAGCUAGUUGUUAAGGUAACGGCUUACCAAGGCAACGAUGCAUAGCCGACCGGAGAGGGUGAUAGGCCGCCUGGGAACUGAGCCACGGUCAAGACUCCUGCGGGAGGCAGCAGUAGGGAACGUGACGCAAUGGGCGAGAGUAUGACGGAGCAACGGCGAGUGAGUGACGAAAGUCCUCGGAGCGUAAAGCUCUGUUACUAGGGAAGAACAUAUGUGGAAGUAGACGUGCACAUCUUGACGGUAACUAAUCAGAAAGCAACGGCUAACUACGUG
Molecule: ribosomal RNA, 497 nt
Filed under: uncultured bacterium
Lineage: Bacteria
Description: partial 16S ribosomal RNA
Rfam family: Bacterial small subunit ribosomal RNA
Source: RNAcentral